UAUUGAUGGAAUAAGUGAAUAUGUUUCGUAAUAGUCGAUACCGGCUGUUUUUUACUGAAAACCUCUGACGUGCUUUAGAUAGGAUUAUAAUUCCGUCGUGAUCUAUGAUUGAUGAAAAAAUGGGCUUGAAGUUGCCAAUAACUAGUCACAUUGGUUAUCUAAAUUGUAUUAAAAUGCUUGAUCUUGU
Molecule: long non-coding RNA, 187 nt
Organism: Zophobas morio
Lineage: Eukaryota; Metazoa; Arthropoda; Insecta; Coleoptera; Tenebrionidae
Exons: 3
Source: RefSeq, a predicted model, not a curated record